AUGAAUUAAUUUGUAAAGAUUUGUUUUAUGUGCCAAUAUGUGGUUUAAUUCAGAGAAAAUUUAAUGGGUUGCUGAAUAGAAUAGGCUUUUCUUUAUUAUUUGGGGGGAAUACUGGAAUAAGAUAUUUAUUUUGAAUGAAAUAACCUAGCAUUGCUGAGUUUGGGUUAAAUUUAUGUCUUGAAGUAUAAUAGAAUGCUUUCUAUAAAUGUGACAGUGCCAAAUCUUGGUGCAUUUAUGAAAUAGGAUUGUGUUUACCUGGUUAAUUUUUUCCUUUACCAGAGUGAACAGUCAGUCCUUCUUUAUCUCUUGUGAUUUGGUUUGAAAUCUACUUUGUCAUAUACUCUUAUUUUAAUACCUAUUUGCUUCCCUAUCUAUUGCUUGUAGAAUUUUUUCCAUCUUUUCACUGCAAUGCCACCUAUUCUUAAAGAUAAAAAUUAAAAUGAUGCUGGGAUCAAAUGUAAUACACAAGUUUGAAUGUUGUUCUACUGGUCAUUGUGUCUAAAACAGCUUCUGAUUAAAAUGAAUGACUUUGAAUGGUGAGGCCUACAAAAAUUUUUCCUUCAAGAACCCUGCUUAAAAUAUACAAAUAGUAAACAAUAUUUCCAGGUCCUAUCAAGUAAGAGAGGGAAGAUAGUCAAGGGGGAAAUCAAACCUGAAAGCUAAAAUUCUUGGGAGAAACUGAGAGCAAAGGGCAUAGUGCAGAACAUCAGACAAGACUCAAGACAUGACUCAAGUCUUGACAAGACAAGUACUCAGACAUGAAAGGAAGAAGGUAUA
Long non-coding RNA from Arvicola amphibius (Eurasian water vole), 777 nucleotides. RefSeq lists it as uncharacterized. The transcript is spliced from 3 exons. NCBI's taxonomy places the organism in Eukaryota, Metazoa, Chordata, Mammalia, Rodentia, Cricetidae. The record is from RefSeq and is a predicted model, not a curated record.